Molecule: ribosomal RNA, 453 nt
Filed under: Corynebacterium lipophilum
Lineage: Bacteria; Bacillati; Actinomycetota; Actinomycetes; Mycobacteriales; Corynebacteriaceae
Description: bacterial SSU rRNA
Rfam family: Bacterial small subunit ribosomal RNA
Source: RNAcentral
UUUGUGGAGAGUUUGAUCCUGGCUCAGGAUGAACGCUGGCGGCGUGCUUAACACAUGCAAGUCGAACGGAAAGGCCAGUGCUUGCACUGGUACUCGAGUGGCGAACGGGUGAGUAACACGUGGGUGAUCUGCCCUGUACUUCGGGAUAAGCUUGGGAAACUGGGUCUAAUACCGGAUAGGACAACUUUUUGGAUAUUGUUGUGGAAAGCUUUUGCGGUAUGGGAUGAGCUCGCGGCCUAUCAGCUUGUUGGUGGGGUAAUGGCCUACCAAGGCGUCGACGGGUAGCCGGCCUGAGAGGGUGUACGGCCACAUUGGGACUGAGAUACGGCCCAGACUCCUACGGGAGGCAGCAGUGGGGAAUAUUGCACAAUGGGCGCAAGCCUGAUGCAGCGACGCCGCGUGGGGGAUGAAGGCCUUCGGGUUGUAAACUCCUUUCGCUAGGGACGAAGCAUU